This 484-nucleotide ribosomal RNA is filed under the name uncultured bacterium. Its description in RNAcentral is "bacterial SSU rRNA". It matches the Rfam family "Bacterial small subunit ribosomal RNA", at positions 29 to 499 of the family's 1533-position model. The record is from RNAcentral.
AGUGAACGCUGGCGGCAGGCCUAAUACAUGCAAGUCGAACGGCAGCACAGUGGAGCUUGCUCCAUGGGUGGCGAGUGGCGGACGGGUGAGGAAUACAUGGGAAUCUGCCCAGUCGUGGGGGAUAACGUAGGGAAACUUACGCUAAUACCGCAUGCGCCCUUCGGGGAAAGGCCGGGGACCGUAAGGCCUGGCGCGAUUGGAUGAGCCCAUGUCGGAUUAGCUAGUUGGCGGGGUAACGGGCCCACCCAAGGCGACGAUCCGUAGCUGGUCUGAGAGGAUGAUCAGCCACACUGGAACUGAGACACGGUCCAGACUCCUACGGGAGGCAGCAGUAGGGAAUAUUGGACAAUGGGCGCAAGCCUGAUCCAGCCAUGCCGCGUGAGUGAAGAAGGCCCUCGGGUUGUAAAGCUCUUUUGUCCGGAAAGAAAAGCACUGGGUUAAUACCCCGGUGUCCUGACGGUACCGGAAGAAUAAGCACCGGCUA